AGAGUUUGAUCCUGGCUCAGGAUGAACGCUAGCGGCAGGCCUAAUACAUGCAAGUCGGACGGGAUUGAUUAGCUUGCUAAUCAUGAGAGUGGCGCACGGGUGCGUAACACGUAUGUAACCUACCUUUGUCAGGGGGAUAGCCUCUCGAAAGAGAGAUUAAGCCCGCAUAAUAUUAUGGAAUGGCAUCAUUUUAUAAUCAA
This 200-nucleotide ribosomal RNA is filed under the name uncultured bacterium. RNAcentral describes it as "partial 16S ribosomal RNA". It matches the Rfam family "Bacterial small subunit ribosomal RNA", at positions 8 to 204 of the family's 1533-position model. The record is from RNAcentral.